RNAcentral lists this ribosomal RNA (492 nucleotides) under uncultured bacterium. Its description in RNAcentral is "partial 16S ribosomal RNA". It matches the Rfam family "Bacterial small subunit ribosomal RNA", at positions 29 to 507 of the family's 1533-position model. The record is from RNAcentral.
AGUGAACGCUGGCGGUAGGCCUAACACAUGCAAGUCGAACGGCAGCACAGUAAGAGCUUGCGCUUACGGGUGGCGAGUGGCGGACGGGUGAGGAAUACAUCGGAAUCUACUUUUUCGUGGGGGAUAACGUAGGGAAACUUACGCUAAUACCGCAUACGACCUACGGGUGAAAGCAGGGGAUCUUCGCACCUUGCGCGAUUGAAUGAGCCGAUGUCGGAUUAGCUAGUUGGCGGGGUAAAGGCCCACCAAGUCGGCGAUCCGUAGCUGGUCUGAGAGGAUGGUCGGCCACACGGGAGGUGGGACGCGGUCCAGGCGCCUGCGGGAGGCAGCAGUGGGGAAUAUUGGACAGUAGGCGGAAACCUGGUCCAGCCAUACCGCGUGGGUGAAGAAGGCCUUCGGGUUGUAAAGCCCUUUUGUUGGGAGAGAAAAGCAGCAGGUUAAUACGCCGCUGUUCUGACGGUACCCAGAGAAUAAGCACCGGCUAACUUCGUG